Molecule: long non-coding RNA, 1138 nt
Organism: Austrofundulus limnaeus
Lineage: Eukaryota; Metazoa; Chordata; Actinopteri; Cyprinodontiformes; Rivulidae
Exons: 3
Source: RefSeq, a predicted model, not a curated record
CCCACCCCACCCCUUCUCUCCACUGUCUCAUUGACCAUCAUGCCGUGAGCCUGGUCAGCCUGACCUCAAAGGUUAAAGUGUUUGUUUCUCCUUACCUCUCUCUCUCUGCCUCUUUGACUCCGUUCCAUUCAACCCCACCCCACACGCAGACACACGCACGCACACACACAUGCAUGCACACACACACACACUGCCCUCUCUUUUCUCAGGCAGGGUAUCCCUCUGGACAGGUCACAAGUCAUUCACAGGGCCACACAUAGAGACCAGUGACAAACAGUCAUUCACAGGUUUUAUAGGGUUAUCAAUGAACCUAACAUGCAAGUUUUUGGGCUGAUGGAGAAACCCAGAGUUCCCGGGGAAAAAAAAAGCAUGCCACUGUUCUGCCAUGCUGCUUGACCAAAAUAACACUGUAAUAUACAAAUUUAAACUCCAGUUUACCUUCUUGUGCUCUCCUGUUGUCUGGCUGCUCAUGGGUGCGCUUCCAUGGAAACGCAUGACUCCCCCUUUCUCUUCGCUGUCCCAUUGUAUGGUAGGACAUAAGGACAGCAGUCAAUGAACCUGAGCACUUUGACUUCUGUGGUCAAAAGUGUACUGUAUUGCUGCUCUGACUCCUUCAAAAGGACAGAUGCUCGAACAAAGGCAGGAAAAAAGUUGUCCAUUUCUCCUUGCCGAUCAUAAAACACAAGACAUUCAAUCGUUCUUCUCCUAUUCUUUCUCUGUUAGCCUGACCAAUGACCAGCCUGACUUCUGAGGUCAUGAGAAAACAUUUUCUACUGCAAGCACCAUUGUUUGAGAAAAAAAGGUGGGAAAAUUUCUCUAUAAAAGUAGACCUCUGCGGAUCAGUAUCCAUUUUCAAUCUUCUCGCCUCGCUAGAGCCUUCCAGCCUUGUUCUUGAUUUUUUUUGCUUUUGCAUCCUUGUAAACAGAACUACUUCAUCAAUAAACAAAGGAGAAAACUAUGGCCGAAGUUCACAACCACCGCACAGGUUCAUGCUGUUAUUUCUGAUGGUGAAUAAUUUGCUUGUUUUGAUCUUGAUCAGAUAACAAACAGCGCACCCAAAGAAACGAAAGUGGGCUUUUAUUAAAAAGAGGGUUCACAUCGUGCAUCUGUCAGCUCACCGCAACUGCAGAAUCACCGU